CCCAAGCUGGUGUAAUGGCAACAUAGCGAAUGACACUUAAGGUUGAGUAAACCUUAAGCCCUAUUGGGGACCGCAGCUCCAGGUUCGAAUCCUGGGUUUGGGA
Molecule: non-coding RNA, 103 nt
Organism: Annulohypoxylon bovei var. microspora
Lineage: Eukaryota; Fungi; Ascomycota; Sordariomycetes; Xylariales; Hypoxylaceae
Source: the annotation of a GenBank genome assembly